AUGAAAUAAUUUUUUUUUUUUAAACCUGUAAAUAAAGUCAAGCUUCAGAACGCAAAAUUAUAUAUCAUGACCAUAUGUAAGAAAGAAAAUUAAAUUUAUGACAAAAUCACCAAAAAUAGAAAUAAAAAUAGAAGUUGCAUUGUGAGCAAAACAAAUUGUAUGGGCAAAAACAUUUUGGGAAUGGCAUAAAAUGGCCCAAAGAAGAAUUGGAGUUAAAUUAUUGUACAAGCAAAAGAAAGAAAUAAGAGAACCAGAAAAGAUUCAUGUUGAAGGUCUCCCACUGGACAGGGCUUCCCACAUUGCCGACUCUAUGGAGAGUUAGAUGCAUGUAUGUGAGGAAAAUUAGAAAACAAAAAAGGGAGAAACUUAAUAAGGAUGCAUAUAAAAACUAUAUAUUAUGCAGCACUCUGGGGAUGAGAGUGGUUUCAAGUAAAGAUGAACUCAGUAACUUCUAUAAUAUUGGUAGAAAAUGAUCUGUAAACAUAGGAUAAGCUGGAACCAGUGUUGUUAGAAUGGAAAAAUUCUCGAUUCAAUUCAAGUCAAUUUCCCACCCUGAAAGUUCAAGUCCAGUGGCCGAAAUAUAAUUUACAUAAACCAAGGCCAAUUGGAGUGAAUCAAUUGUCUGUGAUUGAAACGAGUAUGAACUUGAUAGUAACUAUUAGUUCUUUCCUUAUUGAGUAAAACCCAAAUACUCAUCAGACCAAACAGACUCAAAACCUAAAACUUAACACGUUUCCUUUCAAUUCCGCCCUGAAAAGAGCACCAUAAAAGGACUUAUUUACACGUGCAUGCAUCUUCUCCUAUUCCCAUCCAAGUUUCUGCACUUCUCUUAGCACUUGAGCCAACAGUUGACUUACAACUCUAGAAAGAUAUUUUUCCUCCACAUCAACCCUUUGCCUCUCACCCUCUCUUUUUUUCUCUCUUUUCCCCUUCCUUCUCCGUUAACUACUGUUGUGAGUUGUUGUAUCGCACAUAAUCACAAAAUUCCUAUGCCCAUCUGGUGACAUGUAAUACCCAUAUUAUCAUUUUGAAGGUAAGCAUCUUUCCUAUUGACACAUAACAUUUUCCAAGGCAUUGGUUACAUUGAGAACUAAGAAGAUGUCAAAGGGUUCAAGUGGCCCUGCAUAUUUGGAGUAUAAAUUUAGAACUUGUAGUAUUUACCAUAAGCUAUUUUGCAAGCCAAAUAUCUUGUUUAAAAUAAACACUCAGUAGGUUGGCAAUCAUCAACAAGAAGAAACAAAACUGUGUAUUCAUUCUCAUCUUGAGAGUUGAGACUAAGCUUAAUGGGAUUUUGCUAUCCUGGUGCAAAACAUCUAUGCAAUACAAACUUAAAGCCUUUCCACUGCUGUUCUGUUCCGUUCCGUUCAUUUUUCCUAGUUGAUACAUCAAACAAUUCCAUCAGUAACCAUUAUAAUUUAACAGGAGUACAAGAAUUGUGAACAGAAACGCUUCUCUAGUUUUUUAGAAUGUAGGAAUGAUAUAGAAUACAACAGAGUAAAACAGAUAACAUGACAGUUGGAUCUAAUAUUUAAAGCCUCAUUUAAAAUGAUUCAGGCCAGAAGGAAUUCAAAUUCAGGAAGAUAACUAGUUUAGAUUGUUUGUAACAAAAACAUAUCUAGAAGUGAGAAUUAUUUUCAUAUCAAUCUUUAUAUGAAUGAAAUUAAGUGAAAAGUAUCCUAUAAUGUACAAUUUAUUGUCAACUCCACAGGAUUUAGACCAUAUUUUGGAUGUUUCGGAACUACAGAAGCAAUUAAUAUUUAGAAUGUACCAAAAAAUAAAGUUGAAUAUGCAUAAAAACAUAAGGUCAUAGAUUAAACAAACAUAUAACAUUAUAUAAAUAUGGCUUAAAUAAACCAUACCACAUAUGUGUUGGAUAUCAAGCAAAUGACCCAAAAAGCUCCUGACCCCUACGCACCCCGCCCUGUCCUGUCUGUGCAUUUGAAUAAACAUGCUGCAACCCCCGACCUGCCCCAUAAUUCCCAAGCAGUGACUGACGUGCAACUCCUAAUCCUCCAACUUGACGAGUUGGCACGAGACUCUGGCUCAUUGCACCAGCCAUUACCGGACUAAUUAUCCCAGUAGGACCAGGAGAAGCAGCAGCAGCAAGUGGGUUACCCAACAACCCUCCAUAAAGUGGAUUAAACCCAGGGUGCUGUCCAAACAAUGCGAAAUUCUGCGCUGCUGCUACUGCCGCCAACACCUGACCCUGCGGUAGUUGCUGUUGCUGUUGCUGUACCUGUACCUGCACCUGAUUAGUCUUGCUCUUCCCAUCCGUGGCUAUAGAGCAAUGCAACUGCUGACCCUCAAACACUUUGUGUGGUUCCUCCAGUGCCCUUUUAGCUCCCUCCACCGUCUUAUAAACGAACAAAGCAAACCCUCUCGACCUUCCCGUUUCUUUAUCAAAACCUGUCGGCCCAGACUCAAUUUCUCCAAACUUAGCAAAGAAAGCUUUAAACUUUUCUUUAUCAAUACUCCCUUGCACAUUACCCACAUAUAUCUUCCUAGCUCCAACAUCCUGAUUUUUAGCUCCGUUAACGGGCCCGACAGACGCCAAUUGGCAGUUGGCAAUCCGAUUAUUAAUAUUCUUCUUGGGAUCUUUUAACGCCAUAGCUGCACCUUUUCUCGUCUUGAACAAAACGAAACCGUACCCUUUAGCUUUCCCAGUGACUUUGUCCAUUACAACGUUGCAAUCCUCGAUUUCUCCAAAGGGUUCGAAUGCGGAGAGGAGUUUUUCACGCGUGAUGUCCCAGGUAAAACCGUGGACGAAGAUUUUCCUGUGGGACGCUUCCCGGUCCGCGUGUUCAUUGAUGAGGGGAUAAAGAGAGGGGUAUUUGGCAGCCGCGAGGGAGAGGAGUUCGAUGAGCUGGUCUUUGGUGUAGGGUUCAAGGAGAGUUGGGAGAUCAAUGGAGUCAGAAUCAAAAUUGGAAUUCUCAUCGGAAGCAGAAUCAGAAUCAGUGUGGGUGGUUUUGGGAGGAGGAGUUGGGAGGUGAGCUUUUAUAAUCUUUCGUUUCUUGAGUUUGGGUUUCUGGAGGGGAUUUUGAUCGGCGAUAAUAUCUGACUUUUUGAUGAGAACGGUUUUUUUGGGUUUUCACCAUUGGAGAGGGAGAGAGAAUCGCGCGCGACAGAGAAGGUGUGCUGCUCCUGGGUACUGUAACUGUGUAAGCUCAGACCAAUUUUAC
Molecule: unclassified non-coding RNA, 3179 nt
Filed under: Hevea brasiliensis (rubber tree)
Lineage: Eukaryota; Viridiplantae; Streptophyta; Magnoliopsida; Malpighiales; Euphorbiaceae
Source: RNAcentral